GUCACCCCCUCCUUCCGGGGCCCACACCGCGCCCUCUCCGGGAGGCUUCACGCCCCCCGGCCGCCCGCUCCUGUGCCUCUCGGGUAAAGCGGAGCUUGGAAAUGCUUGAAAUACUCCACUUGCGCGAAUAGAGGUGAUUCUUUUGGGGUGAGAGGCCACAAGACCUACUGAUCAGGACAGGUGGCUGAGAGCAGAAAGCAUGGGUUUAUUACCAGUUCCACUCAUCAUUUGCCACGGUGGACUCCACAGAACAUCAGUAUAGAUCUGUGAUGUAACAAGUUCCGCACCUAACCUCACUGACAUCGGAGCUGAAUGAUGUGAACCUAGAGCUACUGGUUUGAUGCAGCAUAAUACCUCUUGUCCCAGUCCUGUAAGUGUUCUAGGCCAGGUUGGAUGGGGCCCUAAGAAACCUGUUCUAGUGGUUGACAUCCCUGCCCAUGGCAGAAGCGAGGCAGGGGUUGGAACCACAUGAUCUUUCAGAUCCCUUCUACCCAAGCCAUUCUACGAUUAUCUGCAAAUCUAACAAUUAAUUUUUGAGGGAUGAGAACAUGAAUGAAGAAAAACUUGAAUGCGUACUGUAUCCACCAUAAUGAAAAGAGCAAUGACAUGAGUUUUACUGAUUUAAGAGAUAUUAUAUUUUAUGUUUCUCUUCAAAGCCUUACAAUUCCUUACCAUAUAAGGAAGCAGGCCAGAAAUGCUGAUCUUCAUAGCCCCUAAUAUAGGAAUGUCUUACUCUGCACAUUGUGAAGCCAGAAACAUUUCCAGGGCCAUGCAGCUUUUGUGACAGAUCUUGGUAUCACUUUCUGGUCUAAGUGCAUUUCUCACCUUUUGUCUCCUUAUGUAUAUUCAUUGAUACUCAGACCUUUGGCUGUAUGCUGGUGAGUUUAGUGGGACUGAAGCUUGUAUUUUUUACCUUCCAUCAUGCAAUCUUCUGAAGUGUUCUGGGAUAUAAGAGGAGUAAUUAGUGCAAUUCCUACAGCUUUGUUUCUCUCCUUUGCAGCAACAAGUUUAUUGACCAACCCAGGUUUUCUAAAGCUCAGUACUGUUUAUUCAAUCACACUAUUUGUAGGAGUAAACCUCCUGUAAAACAACAAACCUUUAUUAACAUUUGACCAGCAGGCUCUCAGUAUUUGUACAGAUCAUUUGUCACCAACUCCUGGCAGGCAGCUAGGUGACCCUAGUUCGGUUCUCAAGUACAUGUGAAUAAACCUGGAUAAGCAAACACACGCGCUCGUGUGAGAGCCUCCACUGAGGUUGUUUCCAGCCCUUCUUUGUUGCCAGACCUUUUGUAUCAGAUCAAACCAGUAAAGUGGGCAUAAGGCAUAAGUCAUAUAGAUUUCCAGUGUUGUUUUUCUUCUAUCUGCUUUUCUCAACUUUCUGUUGGGACUCCACUGCAGGAUUUGUAGUUCUUUGAAAAUUCAUUUCACUCAACUGAGUCUGCUAAGAAUACAUUCAGUGACAAACACUUAUGAUAAAUGUAUCCUUUAUAUUAUCGAACCAGAAGUGUUUCCUUAUUUUGAAGCCUCUCAGAAUCUCUUAUAUUGCUGUGUUACAGUCUUUGAACGACUCAGGAUGUUAGGACAUUGCACCCGGAAAAUUUUUUUUAUUGGUUUAAAAGUGGCCCCAGUUUUAAUCACAGAGAGAUAUAUGUCUCACUCUACCUUUUGCCCUUACAGUUCCAGCUGAAACUCUUUAUUUAGAUUUCUCAGUGUUCCUUUUCAGAAAAGACAGAGAACAAAACUAGCAGAUAAUAGUUGCUGUAGGCUGUCACCUAGCUCCCUGACUACUUUUUAUAUGGAAUGGAAGACAGUAGCCAGACCAAAUAAUGAUGUAGCUCAGCUGAACUACAUGGGCAGAGACUUGGUUUCUGGGCUUGAGGUGGGGCAAAAACCAUUCUCUCUGCAUCUAUAUAGUGAGGGAGAAUGCAGGAAAAGCCGUAAAGGAAAGGAUUGUAAAGGACAGGGAAGCUUGCAAGAAAAAAGGAAAAGGGCAUAGCAAUAAUGAGAAUAAGUGACAUUGAAAGGCACAAAAGGCUGAAAAGAAUUUCAGCUCUGAAGAGUUUUUAGAAUUGGAAGAACCUGCAAAAAUAAAAACAAUGUUUCUUCUGGGUUCUUGGCAAGGAGAUGACAAUGAUCUAGUGAAGUGGGGAGAGAAAAUCAGGGACUUUGGCUGAAAAUCAGGGAUGGUAAGUGAGAUGAAUUUUUAAAAGGCUUCAAUGCUGAGAGAAUAAGAAAGCUACAAAUUAUUUGGGGGAGAAGUCUGAAGACAUAUUAGAGUGCUUUCUUAGGUAUGGAUAUUUGGCUGUAUUCUUGAAACCUGCCCUGAAGACUUGUGGAAACAAGAAGAGCAUUAGCGGAGCCUCCUUAUAGCAAGACUUUGCUAGAACCCAUUGGACUGCGAUAUGUAAGAGGAGUUACAGUCAGCAGUUUGCUUGGACUGGCGUACAGCCACUAAGGCUGCAUGAUACUUAACAUCCCACUUUGCUUCAAUUAGAUUUUUCUGCUCCAUCUUUCCUUACAGAGUUACUUCUCAUUUUCCAAUAAAGGAAUGGAAUUAGCUGAAACAAUUCUUGGUGGGUCUAUAGCGAGAUCUUACAUUGCACUUGCUUUUAGGAUGAUGCUGAAAACCCUCAGUACUUAGAUAACAUUACCUUUCUUGUGCUAAUGGCUGAAAUAACAAGAAACAAGUAUGCCUCUUACCUGUCUCUAAAUAAAUUUUUAAACAUCUGAAAAUUCUUCUUAGAUUUUCCUAAGUGUUCAUUUGCUCAGCCAAGCUAUGGGUCUGAAAACUGACAUGUACAGACACAGUCACUUUUAAAAUCACACUUUUACUGAGGACUGAAUCUUUCCUUUUUCAUUUUGGUAAAGAGGCUGUCCUGUGUCAAUAACAGUGCUGCCUCUAGAACUGUAAGAAUUCAGGAAAAAAGUGCUUUCAAGCCGCCCUGUAGUUACACACACUGUAUAAAAUGUAUCCCAUGCAGAGGGGUAACUUCUGUCCAUCCGUGUGGAGGCAAAGGAGGCGAUCCAAUUCUGGACAGCACAUUUGACCACUCCAGAAGUUCCCCAGCCAUUGCUCUUUGUAAGAAUUGAAACAUGUGCUUUGAGAAAUUUAGAAUUUGACUCUUUUCUUCAAUUUUAUUUCUUGUGUAUUGGAUUUGGUGUGCGAUGUUGACAGAUUCCAUUAGCUGUGUUCAGAUGACAUCAGUUGUCAAAGCUUCAUUUGUGUUGAAGCCCAUGCAAGAUUUUGAUGCUGGACUAAAAAGCAGACUGUAGAACAUGAAGAUGAUGUCACAAGCUCCUACCAGAAUCUAUCCUCAUAAAUCUCAUUUCAAUGACUAAAGACUUGAGUGCAACUAUGUUUAAGAAUGGACAGAGAAAGCACUGUUAAUGAAGAUGAAUUAUCCUUCUUGUUAUGUUGCUUUGUGAUGUUUUUGUCAGAAAAAGAUUCUCCUUUUGCUUUGAAAAGCAUUCAGCUGUUCUUGCUUUUCUUUUAAAUACUGACAAUUGUCAUCUGUUUAUUGUGCAAGAUUUGGUUAAAUUAUUUGAUACAACUUAAGGAUGUUAGAUUUGGUUAAAAUGUUGCACAGAAGAGUAGCUGUGCUUUAACCAUAUGCUGUUCUGUAUUUUCAUUCUUGGCUUUCUGUGCGUACUGUUAAGAUUUGGGGGGAAAAAUGUAACUCAAUACACAGUAAUGCAUUUCUCAAACUUCUCUUUAUGGUUUAUGCAGUUAAGUUGCAUAUGCUGUAUUCAGACUGACAAGUAGAAGGCAGAAGGGGCUGCCUUAAUCCUCAAGAAAUCUUGUAUGAUACAGAAAAAAAAAAAAAAAAAAAAAAAAAAAAAGAGGACUCAGGUCUCAAUUUCAAUUUACCUGACCAUGCCCAGGAACUUGCUCUCCUCUUUGAUUUGUGGCUGUAGAGGACCAGACCUAAGCAUGUUUUGUCUUAAACAUUCUGAGUAUUGCUACAGGAAAGGUGAUCAGAGGAGAGGGUCCUGCAGCGGUGGGGCAGAGGGUUCUGAGCCAAAUUCCUGCUCCACCCCGAGACGAGACGCGUUAUCAGUCCAGUCCCCUUGCCCCUGACUCACUCCCUCGAGGGCUAAAGGGCUGGCUGUGCAUGUGAGAAUUGCGUGAAAAACCUAGUUUGCCUAAGAGGCAUGCAUCAUGUUAACUAUAAAAGGGAGCGGAUUGGGCCCUGCUUGCUCCUCUUGUCUCUUUUUUCCUCCCUUCUCUUUUUCUUUCUCUUCCUUUGUCUUGCAAUCUCAGUUUAAGACUAUUCACACAGCAGUAAGGACUGAUGAAGUUCUUUGUUUUGUUCCCAUGCUUUGCCUGAGCAAAGUACAGCUAUCAUAUUCUAUGCUGUACUGAACUCUCGUUUUUCAAGUGGGGAGCUUGUGGAAGCCUGUUAUGGUUUGCGAGACAGCAUCUUUGCUUAAUGGUGUCCUGUGGAGUGCUAGUCAUCACCUUUGAGUAUUAGUGGUGUGGCUUUUGAGCCAGCAUCUUUGUGGAGUUUGUUAUGGGAGUUGAGAACUUAUUUAAGUGAACUCUACAAAUUCAGGGGUUUGUUAGCCACACCUUUUGAGUCUAAGCAGUGAGCUGGUUGGCAGAGUUACAGUGACUAAAAAGCAGACUGUAGAACAUGAAGAUGAUGUCACAAGCUGCUACCAGAAACAUUUCACAGCUGAAAUAACUGUGCAAUAGCAAUUUGAAUAUAAUGUAUGGGGAUCUAUAUUAAAUUUUGCAUUUUUUUUUUUCAGUUGGGCAAAUGGGUUAGGAUAACCAAGAUCUGACAUGAAGCUUUGGGAUGUAAAAAGAGAAGAGAACUUUACUAACUUGUUGCAAAUUUCUGAGGAUACCUUUGCAACUUUUAAACUACUUUCUCUCUGCCUUGUUUCUAGUUAUUAACUUGCAAGAACUCUUCAGCCACAUAUGGAAGAUGUUGAAAGUAGAUGCCUCCUCUCUUUUCCUCCCCUCCCAUUAGAUCAACUCAAAGCUAAAUGAGUACAAUACUCCUUGCCAAGAUUUAUAAUACUGAACACAAUUACUGAAAACCUUACCCAGCAGUGCUUUUUCCACCAUCGAUAGGAUUAUUCUGAGGGGGAAGUGAUUUUACUUCUCCGUAAUUAAUUUCCCAACCGCACAGAUGUGUUUAAACCACAGAACUGUUAUCUGCAAUCAAUAACAAAAUUCCUUACUGGUUACAGUUUAGUUCUGGUAAUUUGUAAUUAUGGGAUUAGUGGUGACCUUCAGGUUGUUGCUGGAAGAACAGAGCUGGCGGUGAAAUAAAGCUUGUGGGUCAAGAGCUGAAAGAGCUGAAAUCACUGGGCCUGGAGCUGUCAUCAUUGCAUGUCUGGGAUCAGGGCUGAACACGCCAUAGGAGCCAUAGGGCUGGCACACAGACUGUAGUGCUCUUGCGCCAAAAUCACUGUGGGCCUGGGACGCGCAUGCUGGGGCUGGGUAUUGUGACUGAAGCUAGAACAGGUCGUGUGGAGGGCAAAACGGGGCUGCAACAUUGCGCCUGAAAUCCCCGGCGAUGGCAGGAUACUGCCUGGCUCUGUGGAAGCACCUCUAGGGAUGGGGCCGAAACCACUGUGGGGCUGGGAAGGGUCCUGCGGUGCCGCGACUGUGAAUGAAAAUGGAAAACUAACUGAAGAUCUGAGAAGGGGGCUGUUGCAAUCGAGGCAAAUAAAGGCUGGGGAUGGCACAGGGACUGGGGAUUUUUGGCCAGGAGCUUGACUCACCGUUGGGCUGAGGUAUUGAUGGUGGGCUGGGCUUAGAGAGCCUCGGGCGGGAGCUGAAGUGCUGCAGGGCUGGAGCCAAGAGCAAGAUGAUGCCCUUUGAAGCUGGAGAAUCGUGCAGCUGCAGCUGGAAGAACAGAGCUGGCGGUGAAAUAAAGCUUGUGGGUCAAGAGCUGAAAUCACUGGGGCUGGAAAGGGGACUUGUGGGGCUGGAGCUGUCAUGUCUACAGCGCUGUGAUUGUCAUCGGUGCAGUACUUCAGACAUUCUUGAAUGUGGCCACGAUUGUAGUUGAGCAUUCCAGUCCAGAUAUGGAAACAUGCAGUUCUAGUGCCAUGUUUCAGAUACGUAUUAUAAUACUUGCUUUUUAUAAAUAUUUAAACGGAUUUACAUGCAUGGCCUUUAGGUAACUUUGUUAUAAAUAUAUAAUUUGUAUUUCAACUUUUAAUUAAGCUUAGACAUAGUAAUGAAAUAGCUAUGUUUGUGUUAAAAAGCCUGCUAUGGUUGUUUGAAAAUGCAAUUAACACAGGAUGAGGACAGCUGCUACAGAUAUGCCAACUAUCAGCACUCACCAUCUGAAGCAACUAUGGACCAAGGCCGAAACUGGAAGCCAUAAAGAGAAGGAGCCAAAAGCAGGGCCAAGAUCUCUAAAAAGGCGGACCCUGGGACAGGCCAUGUAAAAUAGUUCCUGGAAAAUGUAUUCUAGUUUAUGGAUAUGCAUAAGAGUCUAUGAAUAUGCAAGAGACUGAUGUAAGGGAAAAGGUAUUCCAGGGGUAUCCCCAAAACUAAGUGUGGUCUCGGCUCAGUGCCAAGAUGCACCCAGCCGUAAUAGCCCUUGCUUUAUGGUCCUUGUCUCCUAUUGUCCUUUAAUAAACUUUUAAAGUUUUCACAGGAGUGUGAUCAUGUUUUUCACAGCGAGAACCUUUGGAAUGCAAACCAGGAUUUAUUCAAUUGAAUCGCGACUGCGUGCUGUGCCCAGGUCCUUUGUACAAACAGUGUACCGGGAAAAACCAGAACUGGACAUUGCUCGUGAUAUGUAUCGAAUUUUUGGGGGUAAAAUAAAAAUGAUAUUAAAGUGGGGGAAAUGCUUCUUCGUGUAAAUAUUCUUGUCCUAAAG
Molecule: long non-coding RNA, 6847 nt
Organism: Motacilla alba alba
Lineage: Eukaryota; Metazoa; Chordata; Aves; Passeriformes; Motacillidae
Exons: 4
Source: RefSeq, a predicted model, not a curated record